AACACGUAUCCAACCUGCCCUUUACUCGGGGAUAGCCUUUCGAAAGAAAGAUUAAUACCCGAUGGGAUAAUCAUUCCGCAUGGUUUGAUUAUUAAAGGAUUCCGGUAAAGGAUGGGGAUGCGUUCCAUUAGGUUGUUGGUGAGGUAACGGCCCACCAAGCCUUCGAUGGAUAGGGGUUCUGAGAGGAAGGUCCCCCACAUUGGAACUGAGACACGGUCCAAACUCCUACGGGAGGCAGCAGUGAGGAAUAUUGGUCAAUGGGCGCGAGCCUGAACCAGCCAAGUAGCGUGAAGGAUGACUGCCCUAUGGGUUGUAAACUUCUUUUAUAUUAGAAUAAAGUGCAGUAUGUAUACUGUUUUGUAUGUAUAAUAUGAAUAAGGAUCGGCUAACUCCGUGCCAGCAGCCGCGGUAAUACGGAGGAUCCGAGCGUUAUCCGGAUUUAUUGGGUUUAAAGGGAGCGUAGGUGGACUGGUAAGUCAGUUGUGAAAGUUUGCGGCUCAACCGUAAAAUUGCAGUUGAUACUGUCAGUCUUGAGUACAGUAGAGGUGGGCGGAAUUCGUGGUGUAGCGGUGAAAUGCUUAGAUAUCACGAAGAACUCCGAUUGCGAAGGCAGCUCACUGGACUGCAACUGACACUGAUGCUCGAAAGUGUGGGUAUCAAACAGGAUUAGAUACCCUGGUAGUCCACACAGUAAACGAUGAAUACUCGCUGUUUGCGAUAUACAGUAAGCGGCCAAGCGAAAGCAUUAAGUAUUCCACCUGGGGAGUACGCCGGCAACGGUGAAACUCAAAGGAAUUGACGGGGGCCCGCACAAGCGGAGGAACAUGUGGUUUAAUUCGAUGAUACGCGAGGAAACCUUACCCGGGCUUUAAAUUUGCAGUGGAAUGAUGUGGAAACAUGUCAGUGAGCAAUCACCACUGUGAAGUGCUGCAUGGUUGUCGUCAGCU
RNAcentral lists this ribosomal RNA (947 nucleotides) under Bacteroides fragilis. Its description in RNAcentral is "bacterial SSU rRNA". It matches the Rfam family "Bacterial small subunit ribosomal RNA", at positions 112 to 1060 of the family's 1533-position model. The record is from RNAcentral. Lineage: Bacteria; Pseudomonadati; Bacteroidota; Bacteroidia; Bacteroidales; Bacteroidaceae.